This 264-nucleotide ribosomal RNA is filed under the name uncultured archaeon. RNAcentral describes it as "partial 16S ribosomal RNA". It matches the Rfam family "Archaeal small subunit ribosomal RNA", at positions 714 to 982 of the family's 1478-position model. The record is from RNAcentral.
AGACGUCUACAUUAGAUACCCCUGUAGUCCCAGCCGUAAACUAUGCGCGUUAGGUGUAUCGGUGACCACGAGUCACCGAGGUGCCGAAGGGAAACCGUGAAACGUGCCGCCUGGGAAGUACGGUCGCAAGGCUGAAACUUAAAGGAAUUGGCGGGGAGCACCACAACGGGUGGAGCCUGCGGUUUAAUUGGACUCAACGCCGGGAAGCUCACCGGAUAAGACAGCGGAAUGAUUGCCGGGCUGAAGACCCUGCAUGACCAGCUG